RNAcentral lists this ribosomal RNA (253 nucleotides) under uncultured bacterium. RNAcentral's name for it is "partial 16S ribosomal RNA". It matches the Rfam family "Bacterial small subunit ribosomal RNA", at positions 524 to 776 of the family's 1533-position model. The record is from RNAcentral.
UACGUAGGGUGCGAGCGUUGUCCGGAAUUACUGGGCGUAAAGAGCUCGUAGGUGGUUUGUCGCGUUGUUCGUGAAAACCGGGGGCUUAACCCUCGGCGUGCGGGCGAUACGGGCAGACUUGAGUACUGCAGGGGAGACUGGAAUUCCUGGUGUAGCGGUGGAAUGCGCAGAUAUCAGGAGGAACACCGGUGGCGAAGGCGGGUCUCUGGGCCGAAAUUGACGCUGAGGAGCGAAAGCAUGGGGAGCGAACAGG